This 84-nucleotide transfer RNA is filed under the name Candidatus Dojkabacteria bacterium. RNAcentral describes it as "tRNA-Leu". It matches the Rfam family "tRNA". From Rfam's summary of the family: Transfer RNA (tRNA) molecules are approximately 80 nucleotides in length. Their secondary structure includes four short double-helical elements and three loops (D, anti-codon, and T loops). The record is from RNAcentral.
GCAGGAAUGGCGGAAUAGGCAGACGCGCGGGACUUAAAAUCCCGUUCUAGAAAUAGAGUGAGAGUUCGAUUCUCUCUUCCUGCA